CAGUUCCUUAUUCAUGGGUGAAUCGUUUUUCUCCCCUUUUGCCCUCCCCGGCCGGGCAUCGCAACGUGCGCCGGCGGCGGUGGGGUAGGCCCACUGGGCCAAAGGGUUGUGAAGCGUGCGUGCGCAGCGUUGCGCGCCUAGCGGGGCGAGUUGUCUAGUCAAAGGUUGUCGAACAAAAUAAAGAAAGAUUUAAAAUGAAAGGGAAAAUUUGCACGACCUGGGUGGGACAUUAGUUGUAUAUUAGAGGGGAGGGGAACUAAAAUUCCUACCCCACCCCCCGCAUCAAAGGCACUUGACUGUGCAUCGUGAAAUGUAUAUUAGUGCAUCGUGAAAGGAUUAGUUCGCUUUGUGUUUCUCUGGCAUGUGAAAGGAUUAGGUCUUCUGUUGCCGGCCAGCCUUUAGCUAGGGAAGGCGGGGGCGGGGCGGAAUAGCGCGGGGACCUCCUAAGGUUGCCCUCGCCGCCGCAACUCUCCGUGCGGGGGCUGGAAGGGGCGUUGGCGGCCGGCGGCGAAGGCCUUCCCCUCUGCUACGGCGACGCCGCCGGCUCCUGCUCCGCGCCGCGGGCAAGUGCCGGGAGUCGGUCUAGGUGCCGCUGGAGCGGCGCGCAGGCGGUCCUCGUCCAUUAUCGUAGAGGUGAGCAGUGUGUGGGGGGGGGGNNNNNNNNNNGGCCGCUCCUGCGUACCGGGCGGCGUUCAAGGCCGACAGGCUGUACUAUGGGUUGCGGACCAAGAUGUUCGAGGCGCUGUACCCGCGGGUGCCUGCGCCGCCGCAGCCCCACGUAGUAGCCAGGAGCAGCCGAGCCAGGAUGGUCGUCGGCGGCAGCCGAGCCCCAGCAGACGAGCCACCUCGCACCUCCGGCACGUCGCCGGCGGCAGCAACCUCGGCGGCCAGUGCGGCUGCUUCCUCAGCGGGGCACGGGGCGAGGGAACGUCCCGCAGUAUGAUGAUGAGGUGGUCUCUGUCCCUCCAGGGCCGCGGCGGCCGAGGCUUCGGCGGCUCCGAGUUCCUGCGCGUUAGCGGCUGCUCCUCGAGGUCCUCCGCCGUGUUCCACCCGGUGCACGGACUUCUUUCUCCUGGACCCAGUGGAGGGCGGGCGUCCUUCCUCGGGCACCAGCCGCGAUCCGUCGAGACCACUAGCGUAGUUGCCACUAUCGGACCGCACCACACGUAUGGAGUCGACGCUCUAUGAGCUCCUGCCGCCGCUCCAUCUGCCCCCGCGGCCUCGGCUGCGUGACCCGCAUCGCCGCUCCCUCGCGGGCUACGUCGGCAGCCCCUUGACGUCGGGCCGGCUCUCUCUCUCCUACCCACACACACACCUCCCCUCGUGCACCCACCCGGUCCCUACCUUUCCCUGCUCUCUCCUCUCUCUGCGACCGUCCACCCAGUCGCGGACGUUUUGCCGCUUAAUUCGGGGGGUCCACGGGGGGGGGGUCGAGGGACCCAAACGGAACCCCAGCGGCCGAGUAAAAAACCGGUCUAGGCCGCGAUUAACUCCAGCACCCCCGCGCUCACCCUGAAAAAAGUAGGCGGCCGCCAAUUUUUCACGAGGACCCCCGGAAGGACCCCCCUGCCCACCUCUACGAGAUUCAACUGAUCUAGAGCGCCGGGGCCGGCAGAGCAGGGGCAGGGAUCCCAAGGCUACGCGCGCUGACUGUAGGACUAUAAAAUUAAGAAAACGCCCUCGCUGAUUGUACAUGUAGGGCAAACCUAGCCACGUCCUCUCCGGCAUGUACUACGACGCCUACUUGCUUCGGCCGCCGCCGCUCCCGUCGCUAAUGCCCUCGAGCCUCCGGCCCUCGAUGCUCAUGCUCCUCGUCGACCCCGUGGUGGAGGCGGAGGCGGUGGUCCUCGUGGGCCCACCGCAGCUACCACGACGACACUAUAGCUCCGACUCCCACUCCUGUUCACGAUCCUAACCUGCUCGAGAGACUCCUCUCAACUCAUGCUCCUCCUCCCCAAGCUACUACUACUCCUACACCUCCUACACCUCGGUCUCGAUCUGUGACGUCUCAUGCUCCUACUGCUCCGAAUGCGCGCUCACGAAGUCAUGCGGUUCCUCGCGCUCCCGCCCGUCACUCGUACAGCUCCUAGUUUAUUUACUGCACGUCCUAAGUACCGUUCUCCAACUAGGUCUACUCAUGAGUAUACUCCUUAAUCAACGUAACCCGCCUCACCAACCAUGUCUUUCUUCUCCAGAGAGACGACUAUGUGAACGAAGGAAUGGAAGUCAUUGAAUGUUGUGUUUUCUGUACGUUCUGCCGUUGUGUCUUGUUACACAUUAAACAGCGCACCCUAAACUCCUUCCACUUAGGAACCAACGUGAAGGGACGUUCGUGAGUAUGGUGGGACUGACGUAAUUGGUCAGUGUAUUUAUUCCAUACGCGUUACACAUCGCACCUUCAAAGAUGGAGUUGUUUGUUCUCCAUACGCGUUACACAUUGCGCCUUCAAAGACGGAGUUGUUUGUUCGUCCGUACUGGUUAUCAACCGUGAAGUUCAAUAUGGCUCCUUUUUCUUCAACCGUCAACCCUCAUACAUCAUCGCCGUAGUAAUAUAAUAGGGACUACAAAUUUGGUCUCGUCGUUUUUGAACAUGUUUGAACGCUUCCCUGUUUGAACAUGUUUAAUAGAGUACGAAAUCAGAAGUCAGUGUCUCUAUAUGACCCUUUAUAAACUGAUAAUCAAUAAGAAACCUUUCAAAGUACUAAUAAGUAAUUACGUGUCUCUAUAUGACCCUUUAUAAACUAACUAUAGAUAUAUAUACAUAAUCUUACGCUUAUUAACCAUCUUUUAAUUACAACCGGACAUAUAAACCGACGUUUAUUUGUGAUUAAUUAAAAA
This 2838-nucleotide ribosomal RNA is filed under the name Triticum aestivum (bread wheat). Its description in RNAcentral is "partial small subunit ribosomal RNA". Lineage: Eukaryota; Viridiplantae; Streptophyta; Magnoliopsida; Poales; Poaceae. The record is from RNAcentral.